CGGCGGCGCGGCCGGGCCCGGCGCUCAGCAGCCCCCCGCGGCCGGGCUCCGCCGCCGCCCUCCCCGGGAGCUCCCCCGCCGCCGCCAACUGCUCCGCGGGGAGACGCCGCGCCCUGCGCCGCGGCCCCAUUGGUUCAGAGCGCUGUCGGACUGGUUGCCUCUGAAUCUGAAAGUUCAAUUUCUUUCAGAUACGCCGCAAAGACGUGCUUGUUAAAUAUUUCCAACUGAGCACGAGUGAUUGCUGCAUGUCUCACUUUCUCGCCUGUCAAAUUUGCAAUGAAGCAUCACAACAUUUACGCAGAUUACUUCUCUACGAGAUGAAAUGCCGACAAUUUGGUGUUUCAGCCACUGUACCUCUCCCUUGGAAAGCAAGUAAAAAUAAAUGCCUUGAGGGUAACUGCUAAGUGCUACAGUAAGCAAGGUUAUUUUACAAAGUUGUACAGUAAAAUGUUAGUAGGCAUCAAUUACAUUUCCCUGAUUAAAAAAUACAUUCACAGUAGCAUCUGCCCAGUGGUAAAAAAUAUUUUCUCUAACCAAAA
Cygnus atratus (black swan) is the source of this 539-nucleotide long non-coding RNA. RefSeq lists it as uncharacterized. The transcript has 2 exons. The record is from RefSeq and is a predicted model, not a curated record. NCBI's taxonomy places the organism in Eukaryota, Metazoa, Chordata, Aves, Anseriformes, Anatidae.